Long non-coding RNA from Neofelis nebulosa (Clouded leopard), 1488 nucleotides. RefSeq lists it as uncharacterized. The record is from RefSeq and is a predicted model, not a curated record. The transcript has 6 exons. Lineage: Eukaryota; Metazoa; Chordata; Mammalia; Carnivora; Felidae.
AAAAAGUUAUUUAUUGGCUCUUUGAUGGGUGGGGCCUUGUCUUUCUGUGGUACCUCCCCAGAAAGUCCUGAGCCUACAUCUAAAAACAAAGCUUCAGGCUAUCCCAGCUCUUCCCAGCUCGCUGUGUGAAAAGCUAACAUGGCCUUGAGCACCGGCUAGACUUGGCUGGGAAACCUCCUUCUCCUGCCUGGGGUGUGAUUCUAGCCAGCUCAGGAGCCCAGGUGAUCCCCAUGGUUGGGGACCAAGAAGACGUAGUUUGUGAAUCCAGGUUAAGCAGUCACUGGCUGUACCCACGAAAACUCCAGAAAGUGCCGCCAUCCUUGAGAGAAAUCUGCCUUCAGACUGACCGAGGUGCUGAUCGAUCCUUUCCGCAAAGGAGCUCUGGGAAGUGGGAAGCUUUUGCCAGAGGACAGACUGCAGAAGGAUCCAAGAGUCACCUUUGCUCAGGUUUCUGCUGGAAUGAACUCACUCGAAAAACAGAAUAGGACUUCGGAAAAGAGAAGAAAAUAGGGGGAAAGCAAUAACUUAUAAAAAGAAGAAUAGAAAGGACAAAAAAAAAAGUGAAAUAAAUAAAAGUCACAAAGAUGGAAAGGAUAACACGGAGUUGCCGGAGGCUCAUUCUAGAUGCUGCAAUGCGAACAGACCACAGGAAGAAACAGCAGACGGUGAUUGGGUGGCUCCUGUGUAAUCCAGCAAUGAACUUGGUAAAUGUUAGCAUUCGUUUGUCGAUUGUCUUCUCCUCCAUCAAAGAGACAGGGACUGAGACCUGGAAAUACAUAAAAGCUUAAAGGCUAGGACCCGCCACCGACUGAGAAUCCACAUAAAUGAUGCAAAACUCCUCUAAAAUUAUCAUACACUGUUGUCCAAUCCUCCGAUUUGGUUCCCUUCUCCAGAACAUGAAGAUUUCUUACGGAGAUUACUUUAUCUUUGCCCUUACAAAAUCAGUUUUGAGGAAUUUCUGGCUCAUCAAGAGAAGCAGCCAUGACAUUGGGGUCAUCCUCCAGACAAAUAUCUCAUCUCGCCUGAUGAAAUCAGGAAGGUGCUUCUGGUGUCCAAGGGAUGAAUGUCUCAUCUCCUGGGAGGGGACUGAAGUCCUCGGCCAGGGGAAGCCAGAACAUCUGUUACAGGCAUGAUCCAGCCUGCUGGCUGAGCGGAGUCUACGGAGGCACUUAGAAUAAAGCCUUGGGUCUUCAUCAGAAGACAUUGCCGUGGUCACCAAGCCAUUUGCAAUGGAAUCCAGGAUGCACUCAUAGGGACUAAAUACACUUAUGAAAAAAUGGUUAUUAGUAUAAUAGUGGGUCCAAAAAGCUCACUGUCUCAGGCACUGACUUUCCUUUUGCUCAUUUGAAAAAAAAAGAUGGGGCACCUGGGUGGCUCAGUCGGUUAAGCGGCCGACUUCGGCUCAGGUCAUGACCUCACAGUCCGUGAGUUCGAGCCCCGCGUCGGGCUCUGUGCUGACGGCCCGGAGCCUGCUUCGGAUUCUGUGUC